GGGGAAUAUUGCACAAUGGGGGAAACCCUGAUGCAGCGACGCCGCGUGAGUGACGAAGUAUUUCGGUAUGUAAAGCUCUAUCAGCAGGGAAGAAGACGACGGUACCUGACUAAGAAGCCCCGGCUAACUACGUGCCAGCAGCCGCGGUAAUACGUAGGGGGCAAGCGUUAUCCGGAUUUACUGGGUGUAAAGGGAGCGCAGACGGCGAUGCAAGUCUGAAGUGAAAACCUUGGGCUCAACCGAAGGAUUGCUUUGGAAACUGUAUGGCUCGAGUACCGGAGGGGUAAGCGGAAUUCCUGGUGUAGCGGUGAAAUGCGUAGAUAUCAGGAAGAACACCGGUGGCGAGGGCGGCUUACUGGACGGUAACUGACGUUGAGGCUCGAAAGCGUGGGGAGCAAAC
RNAcentral lists this ribosomal RNA (400 nucleotides) under uncultured bacterium. RNAcentral's name for it is "bacterial SSU rRNA". It matches the Rfam family "Bacterial small subunit ribosomal RNA", at positions 356 to 773 of the family's 1533-position model. The record is from RNAcentral.